UACAGAGGUCUCAAGCGUUGUUCGGAUUCAUUGGGCGUAAAGGGUGUGUAGGUGGCGCCGUAAGUCGGGUGUGAAAUUUCGGAGCUUAACUCCGAAACUGCAUUCGAUACUGCGGUGCUUGAGGACUGGAGAGGAGACUGGAAUUCAUGGUGUAGCAGUGAAAUGCGUAGAGAUCAUGAGGAAGACCAGUGGCGAAGGCGGCCACCUGGACGGUAACUGACGCUGAGACGCGAAAGCGUGGGGAGCAAACAGG
This 253-nucleotide ribosomal RNA is filed under the name uncultured bacterium. Its description in RNAcentral is "partial 16S ribosomal RNA". It matches the Rfam family "Bacterial small subunit ribosomal RNA", at positions 524 to 776 of the family's 1533-position model. The record is from RNAcentral.